UAAGGAAUAUUGGUCAAUGGACGCAAGUCUGAACCAGCCAUGCCGCGUGGAGGAUGAAGGUCCUCUGGAUUGUAAACUUCUUUUAUCUGGGAAGAAACCCACAUUAUCCAGUGUGGUUGACGGUACCAGAUGAAUAAGCACCGGCUAACUCCGUGCCAGCAGCCGCGGUAAUACGGAGGGUGCAAGCGUUAUCCGGAUUCACUGGGUUUAAAGGGUGCGUAGGCGGGUUGGUAAGUCCGUGGUGAAAUCCCCAAGCUUAACUUGGGAACUGCCGUGGAUACUAUCAAUCUUGAAUAUCGUGGAGGUAAGCGGAAUAUGUCAUGUAGCGGUGAAAUGCUUAGAUAUGACAUAGAACACCAAUUGCGUAGGCAGCUUACUACACGAUCAUUGACGCUGAGGCACGAAAGCGUGGGGAGCAAACAGG
Molecule: ribosomal RNA, 424 nt
Filed under: uncultured bacterium
Lineage: Bacteria
Description: bacterial SSU rRNA
Rfam family: Bacterial small subunit ribosomal RNA
Source: RNAcentral